CAUUCUCUCUGACCGAGGCGCUAGAUCUUCUAUCUAUUCGAUUGACCCUAAAGCUAGGAAGACUGCCCUACCUUCGACUGAGAGUGUCUUCGCCUAGAAACUCUUCUUGCGUACUUGACUUAUAGGCUUGACGCCCAUUUCCUCUAGGCUAGUUCAUUCCCGGAAAAGAAAACUAGUUGAAUUAGCGAGGAUCCUUAAGAAAGCGGGUGCCAUUCUGUCAGCUUCGUCCCAAUGGAUAUCUUUUCUCUCAAACAGCAACCUAAGGAAUCUCUCUUUCCACAUGAGGUUUGAGGGAUAAGGUCUUCUGGAAACCUUUUGAAGUGGGCAAACCAAGUCAAAGAAAGAAGCAACUCUCCCAGGACCGGAGAAGCUCAAUUUCAAAGGUUAGGAGUUUAGUUCUGACUAGUACUGCCGAGGAGCGAUUCCUCUGAAUGGCAAGUAUGAGUUCAACUGCCCUUCCUUCGGAGAAUGAAGUCAGGGAGUGAGGAGACAGAAAGAAUAUUUUCAUACCUUAAACCUAUAGCUAUCAACAGUCCGCACCUUUGGUUUUGUCAACACUGAGAAGCGAAGAGCUCAAGGUCAGGCAAGGCAGUCUAAGAGGCUAUGGAAUAGUUGCCUCAAAAUAAGGGGUUAUAUAUGAUUAACCAUUUAUAGACAACUUUACAGAUUUGUUUAUGGAUCUUUGAGAAUUGAUUUUCAUUUCCCUGAGAUCGUGGAGAAGACAUGUCCAGUCCAAUGAAUUUGUUUCCCUUAUCUCUCGGCUCGGAAGGGCACCAACGGUCGUGUUAUCAUACAGGAUAGCUGAGAUAAAAGCUAUGUUAUUAUGCGUGGAGCCU
RNAcentral lists this long non-coding RNA (836 nucleotides) under Capsicum annuum. RNAcentral's name for it is "long non-coding RNA (CANN_LNC019531)". The record is from RNAcentral. Lineage: Eukaryota; Viridiplantae; Streptophyta; Magnoliopsida; Solanales; Solanaceae.